This is a non-coding RNA of Ictidomys tridecemlineatus (thirteen-lined ground squirrel), 73 nucleotides long. Lineage: Eukaryota; Metazoa; Chordata; Mammalia; Rodentia; Sciuridae. The record is from Rfam.
GGGGAUAUAGCUCAGUUGGUAGAGUGCUUGCCUUGCAUGCACAAGGCCCUGGGUUCAAUCCCCAGCACCACCA